CUGCUUAUGAAAGAGCUUAAAGCUCACUUAUCGUGUGGCUUAUGAAAGAGCCUAAAGCUCACUUGCCCUUGUUACUUAUAAAGAGCAUAAAGCUCACUUGCCCAUGCUGCUUAUUGAAAACUUAAAGCUCACUUGUCCCUGUCAUUUGUAAAAGAACUUAAAGCUCACUUAUCCUCAUUGUUAAUUGAAGAGCUUAAAGCAUAAAGCUCACUUGUCCCUGCUGCAUAUUAAACAGCAUAAAGCUCGCGUGUCCCUAUGGCUUAUAGAAAAGCUUGAAGGUUAGUUGUCCCAGUCUCUUAUAGAAGAGUUUAAAGCUCACGCUCCCUGUUGCUUAUAAAAGAGAUUAAAAUAAUCUUGUCCAUGUCCCUAAUAGAACAACUUAAAGCUCACAUAAAAGAGCAUGUAGCUCACGUGUCCAUAUGGAUAUAAAAUAGCAUAAAGCUCAACGUUUCCUUCCCAUUUAUGAAAAAGCUUAGAGGUCACUUGUCCCUCUCGCUUAUAAAAGGGCUUAAAGCUCACGGGUCCCUGUUGUUUAAUAUAAGAGCUUAAAGCUCACUUUUCUCUGCCACUCGUAAAAGACCAUAAAGCUUACUUGCUCCUGCCGCUUAUAAAAGAGCGUAAAGCUCACUUGUCCCUGUCAUUUAUGAAAGAGUUUUAACGCUCACUUGUUCCCAUCAUUAAUUAAAGAGCUUGAAGCAUAACGCUCACUUGUCCCUGCUGCUUAUUAAAGAGCAUAAAGCCCACUUGUCCCUCUGGCUUAUGGAAAAGCUUAAAGGUUGCUUGUCCCUGUCUCCUAUAGAAGAGUUUAAAGCUCAUGUGUCCAUGUUGCUUAUAAAAGAGAUUAAUAUAAACUUGUCCAUGUCCCUACUAAAAUAACUUAAAGCUCACAUAAAAGAGCAUGACGCUCACGUGUCCCGAUGUUGAUUAUAAAAGAGCUUAAAGCUCACUUGUCCUCGUCGCUUGCAAAAGAGCUAAAGCUCACUUGUCCCCCCUCCCCCCGCGCUUAUAAAAGAACUUAAAAGCUCACUUGUCUCUGCCGCUUAUAGAAGAGCUCAAAGUUCUGGGGUCUGUGUAUAUAAAAGAGCUUAAAGCUCAUGUGUCCCGGUUGCUUAUAAAAGAGCUUAAAGCUCACUUGUCCCUCUCGUUUAUAAAAAAGAGCAUAAAGGUCACAUGUCUUUAUCGCUUCUUAAAGAGCUUAAAGCUCACUUGUCCCUAUGGCUUAUAAAAGAGCUUGAAGCUCAUUCGUCCUGCUGCUUAUAAAAGAGUAGGAAGCUCACGUGUCAAUGUGGCUCAUAAAAGAGCUUAAAGUUUGCUUGUCUCUGUAGCUUAUAAAAGGGCUUAAAGCUGAAAGCUCAUGUGUCCUAUUGGCUUAUAAAAGAGUUUAAAGCUCACGUGUCCCUUCUGUUCAUAAAAGAGUUUAGUGCUCAUGUGUCCCUCUUACUUACAAAAGAGCGCAAUGCUCAUGUGUCACUCCUAAGCAAGAGCUUAAUGCUCACAUGUCCCUGGUGCUUAUAAAAGAGCUUAAAGCUCAUGUGUCCCGGUUGCUUAUAAAAGUGCUUAACACUCACGUGUCCUUGCUUAAGAAAGAGUUUAAUGCUCAUAACCCAAUGAUUACGAAAUAGCUUGAUGAUCAUGUGUGAAAGCGCUUAAUGCUCAAAUGUCCCUGUUGCUUAUCUAAAAACUUUCUCGAGUGUCCCUGUUGCAUAUGAAAAGAGCUUAAUGCGCACGUAUCCCUCAGAGCUGAUGCUCACAUGUCCCUCAUGUGUCCCUGUGGCAUAUGAAAGAGCUUACAGCUCACUUGUCCCUAUCAAUUAUAAAAGUGCUUAAAGCUCACUUGUGCCUAUUCCUUAUUAAAGCGCCUAAAGCUUACGUGUUCCCUGUUGCUGAUAAAAGAGUUUCAAGUUUACUUGCCCCCAUCGCUUAUAAAAGAGCUUAAAGCUCACAUAAAAUAGCAUGAAGCUCACUUGUCCUUGUGAAUUAUAAAAGAGUUUAGAGCUCACUUGUCGGUGUCGCUUAUAAAAGAGCUUAAAGCUCACUUGUCCCUCCCACUUAUACAAGAGCAUAAAGCUCACGUGUCCUGGUUGCUUGUAAAAUAGCUUAUAGCUGACUUGUCCCUCUCUCUCGCUCUCUUAUAAAAGAGCUUAAACCUCACGUCUCCCUGUCACUUAUGAAAGAGCAUUCAGCUCACUUGUCUAUGUCACUUAUAAAGAGCUCAAAGCUCAUGUGUCUAUGUCCCUUAUAAAAGAGCAUGAAGCGCACGUGUCUCUGUGGCCUAUAAAAGAGCUUAAAGCUCACUUCUCCCUGUUGCUUAUCAAAGAGCUUAAAAGUUACUUGUCCCUCCCCAUUUGUAAAUGUCCCUGUCGUUUAUAAAAUUGCAUAUAGCUCAUGUGUCCUUGAUGCUUGUAAAAGAGCUUAAAGCUCACGUGUCUAUAUCGCUUAUAAAAGAGCUUAAAGCUCUAUAUCGCUUAUAAAAGGCUUAAAGCUCAUGUGUCUCUAUUGCUAAGGCUCAUGUGUCCCUAUUGUUUAUAAAAGAGCUUAACGGCACAGUUACUCUUGCUUAUAAAAGAGCUUAAUGCUCAUUUAUCCUAAUGAUUAUGAAGUAGCACAAUGCUUAUGAAAGAACUUGCUCAAAUGUCCAUGUUGCUUAUGAAAAGCGUCUAAUGCUCAGGUAUCACUCAUAGCUUGAUUCUCACAUGUCCCUACUGCUUAUGAAAGAGCUUAAAGCUCACUUAUCGUGUGGCUUAUGAAAGAGCCUAAAGCUCACUUGCCCUUGUUACUUAUAAAAUAGCAUAAAGCUCACUUGCCCAUGCUGCUUAUUGAAAAACUUUAAAGCUCACUUGUCCCUGUCAUUUGUAAAAGAACUUAAAGCUCACUUAUCCUCAUUGUUAAUUGAAGAGCUUAAAGAUAAAGCUCACUUAGGUCCCUCUGCAUAUUAAACACUAAAGCUCGCGUGUCCCUAUGGCUUAUAGAAAGCUUGAAGGUUAGUUGUCCCAGUCUCUUAUAAAAGAGUUUAAAGCUGACGCUCCCUGUUGCUUAUAAAAGAGAUUAAAAUAAUCUUGUCCAUGUCCCUAAUAGAACAUCUUAAAGUCACAUAAAAGAGAUGAGCUCACGUGUCCAUAUGGAUAUAAAAUAGCAUAAAGCUCAACGUUUCCUUCCCAUUUAUGAAAAAGCUUAGAGGUCACUUGUCUCUCUCGCUUAUAAAAGGGCUUAAAGCUCACGGGUCCCUGUUGUUUAAUAUAAGAGCUUAAAGUUCACCUUUCUCUGCCACUCGUAAAAGACCGUAAAGCUUACUUGCUCCUGCCGCUUAUAAAAGAGCGUAAAACUCACUUGUCCCUGUCAUUUAUGAAAGAGUUUUAACGAUCACUUGUUCCCAUCAUUAAUUAAAGAGCUUGAAGCAUAACGCUCACUUGUCCCUGCUGCUUAUUAAACAACAUAAAGCCCACUUGUCCCUCUGGCUUAUGGAAAAGCUUAAAGGUUGCUCGUCCCUGUCUCCUAUAGAAGAGUUUAAAGCUCAUGUGUCCAUGUUGCUACUAAAAUAACUUAAAGCUCACAUAACAGAGCAUGACGCUCACAUAUCCCGAUGUUGAUUAUAAAAGAGCUUAAAGCUCACUUGUCCUCGUCGCUUGCAAAAGAGCUUAAAGCUCACUUGUCCUCGUCGCUUGCAAAAGAGCUAAAGCUCACUUGUCCCCCAACGCCCCCGCUUAUAAAGAGCUUAAAAGCUCACUGUCUCUGCGCUUAUAAAGAGUUAAAGUUCUGGGGUCUGUAUAAAAGAGCUUAAAGCUCACUUGUCCCCUCGUUUAUAAAAAAGAGCAUAAAGGUCACAUGUCUUUAUCGCUUCUUAAAGAGCUUAAAGCUACUUGUCCCUAUGGCUUAUAAAAGAGCUUGAAGCUCAUUCGUCCUGCUGUUAAAAGAGUAUGAAGUUCACGUGUCCCUGUGGCUCAUAAAAGAGCUUAAACUUUGCUUCUCCCUGUAGCUUAUAAGGCGUAAAGAACUAUGUCAGUGUUCCUAUGGUAUAAAGUUUAAAGCUCACGUGUCCCUUCUGUUCACAGAAGAGUUUAGUGCUCAUGUGUCCCUCUUACUUACAAAAGAGCGCAAUGCUCAUGUGUCACUCCUAAGCAAGAGCUUAAUGCUCACAUGUCCCUGGUGCUUAUAAAAGAGCUUAAAGCUCAUGUGUCCCGGUUGCUUAUAAAAGUGCUUAAGACUCACGUGUCCUUGCUUAAAAUGCUCAUAACCCAAUGAUUACGAAAUAGCUUGAUGAUCAUGUGUGAAAGCGCUUGAUGCUCAAAUGUCCCUGUUGCUUAUCUAAAAACUUUCUCGAGUGUCCCUGUUGCAUAUGAAAAGAGCUUAAUGCGCACGUAUCCCUCAGAGCUGAUGCUCACAUGUCCCUCAUGUGUCCCUGUGGCAUAUGAAAGAGCUUACAGCUCACUUGUCCCUAUCAAUUAUAACAGAGCUUAAAGCUCACUUGUCCCUAUUCCUUAUUAAAGCGCCUAAAGCUUACGUGUUCCGUGUUGCUUAUAAAAGAGUUUCAAGUUUACUUGCCCCCAUCACUUAUAAAAGAGCUUAAAGCUCACAUAAAAUAGCAUGAAGCUCACUUGUCCUUGUGAAUUAUAAAAGAGUUUAGAGCUCACUUGUCGGUGUCGCUUAUAAAAGAGCUUAAAGCUCACUUGUCCCUACUUAUACAAGAGCAUAAAGCUACGUGUCCUGGUUGCUUGUAAAUAGCUUAUAGAUUCCUCUCUCUCUCUUAUAAAAGAGCUUAAACCUCACGUCUCCCUGUCACUUAUAAAAGAGCAUUCAGCUCACUUGUCUAUGUCUUAAAAGAGCUCAAAGCUCAUGUGUCCAUGUCCCUUAUAAAAGAGCAUGAAGCGCACGUGUCUCUGUGGCCUAUAAAAGAGCUUAAAGCUCACUUCUCCCUGUUGCUUAUCAAAGAGCUUAAAAGUUACUUGUCCCUCCCCAUUUGUAAAUGUCCCUGCGUUUAUAAAAUUGCAUAUAGCUCAUGUGUCCUUGAUGCUUGUAAAAGAGCUUAAAGCUCACGUGUCUAUAUCGCUUAUAAAAGAGCUUAAGGCUCAUGUGUCUCUAGCUUAAGGCUCAUUUGUAAAAAAGAGCUUAACGGCACAUGUUCUCUUGCUUAUAAAAGAGCUUAAUGCUCAUAUCCUAAUGAUUAUGAAGUAGCACAAUGCUUAUGAAAGAAUUGCUCAAAUGUCCAUGUUGCUUAUGAAAAGCGUCUAAUGCUCAGGUAUCACUCAUAGCUUGAUUCUACAUGUCCCUACUGCUUAUAAAGAGCUUAAGCUCACUUAUCGUGUGGCUUAUGAAAGAGCCUAAAGCUCACUUGCCCUUGUUACUUAUAAAAAGCAUAAAGCUCACUUGCCCAUGCUGCUUAUUGAAAAACUUAAAGCUCACUUGUCCCUGUCAUUUGUAAAAGAACUUAACUCACUUAUCCUCAUGUUAAUUGAAGAGUUAAAGCAUAAAGCUCACUUGUCCCUCUGCAUAUUAAACAGCAUAAAGCUCGCGUGUCCCUAUGGCUUAUAGAAAAGCUUGAAGGUUAGUUGUCCCAGUCUCUUAUAGAAGAGUUUAAAGCUCACGUCCUGUUGCUUAUAAAAGAGAUUAAAAUAAUCUUGUCCAUGCCCUAAUAGAACAACUUAAAGCUCACAUAAAAGAGCAUGUAGCUCACGUGUCCAUAUGGAUAUAAAAUAGCAUAAAGCAACUUUCUUCCCAUUUAUGAAAAAGCUUAAGGUCACUUGUCCCUCUCGCUUAUAAAAGGGCUUAAAGCUCACGGUCCUGUUGUUAAUAUAAGAGCUUAAAGCUCACUUUUCUCUGCCACUCGUAAGACCAUAAAGCUUACUUGUCUGCCGCUUAUAAAAGAGCGUAAACUCACUUGUCCUGUCAUUUAUGAAAGAGUUUUAACGCUCACUUGUUCCCAUCAUUAAUUAAGAGCUUGAAGCAUAACGUCACUGUCCACUGCUUAUUAAAGAGCAUAAAGCCCACUUGUCCCUAUGGCUUAUGGAAAAGCUUAAAG
RNAcentral lists this long non-coding RNA (6013 nucleotides) under Salvia miltiorrhiza (redroot sage). RNAcentral describes it as "long non-coding RNA (SMIL_LNC004879)". Lineage: Eukaryota; Viridiplantae; Streptophyta; Magnoliopsida; Lamiales; Lamiaceae. The record is from RNAcentral.